Long non-coding RNA from Brassica napus (rape), 3373 nucleotides. RefSeq lists it as uncharacterized. NCBI's taxonomy places the organism in Eukaryota, Viridiplantae, Streptophyta, Magnoliopsida, Brassicales, Brassicaceae. The transcript is spliced from 8 exons. The record is from RefSeq and is a predicted model, not a curated record.
ACAUUGCAUCAAUGUUUCAUUCUUCUCAACAAAGUAUAUUUGAUUAUAAAAACUAUAGAUUAUAAGACCCCUACACAUCACAUCUUUAUAUAUAAAAGAAGCAUUGUAUCUCUCCUGGGCAUGCUAGCUCGGAUGCCACGUUGGAAAUAGGAGCUCCCUCGCGCUGCCACGUCGGAUCUGCACCGUUUCACUAAAGUUUCUGUCUGAACGGGCUUCACGCGCUAACCAGAGGAUUCUUCUUCGCGGGGCCCAUCUGCACAGAUCUUCUACGGAAAACCCUAAUCAGAUGCUCCCUUCCUGAUCUUCGUUCGUCUUCUAUCGGCACAGCGAUCGUCCAGAAUCUGUAACGGUUAUGCUUUUAGUCGUCUUUAAUCGUCUUUAAUUCCUACCCCACUCAAAUCAACCUCUUGAGCCGUUCAUCCGCUAUAUUGUGUAUAACCACAGCUUGACACUGGUCCAAUCCUAAAAUCCUAAGCGUUAUUCAUUGUCGGUGUAUGUGCGUCCUUGCAAUGUCGUUUCGAUCGAAGUUCAGUGCACCUCCUCUUUACCCAUGGAAGCGUAACGGACUGUCUACGACUUCCACUAACUGGCAUUCAAGAAGACGAUCAUCUUCCUCGAAGAAUUUUGCGAAAUAGAGCAGCCAAGAGAAUCCUCCAGCUAGAACUUAUCGAUCUGCGAUGUUCUCGGCUGUUAUGAAGCCUUUACUCUCUCCAUCACCGUUGCUGUUUCGCCUUCCCCUUUUCUUCUUCUUCAUAUUCUCUCUCACUCAGUUACAAAAAAAAAUAUAUAUUCUCUCUCACUCUUCUUUCACAUCUUUCCCUUAUCCUCCUCUCCCUUUCAUUCCCUUCACCUAUUAAGCCUCUCAUUUCCUCUCGCCGUAACUACAGUCGCCACAGCCUCUCUCCGACCACUACCUCUCAUGUCCCGUUCCUGAGAAGCCUCUUAGUGUAGCCGUCCUACCUACCUCAAAAUCUGGUUCCAAGAAGGCUUUGAAGUGCCCCUGGGAAUAUGAUUUGAAGUAUGCAACACAUAUCUGUGUGCAGAGCAAUGAAAGGGAGGAUCUUUACUGCUUCUUGUGGUGCCAUUUUACAAGUUGAUGUAACAUUGGAGGUUGUGCAUUUAACUGAUGAAUACUGGGAAAGAGUUGGGCAUUCAUGGAUGCAAUCAUUGAAAUGGAGUAUGAUUAAAUAGCUUCAGGUCUUUAUGCUAAAGUUGUCCAUCCUCCUGAUGGUCCAUCUGUUUUGGAACUCUCACAAGACAUGGUGCAAUAUCAGACCUACUUCCUCUCGCAUCUCUCUCAGUCCCAGCUUAAGCAACAGUUUCCUUUGAUGACCAGUUGUCAUUACAUAAAUAAUAUUAAGUUACAGCUUUUAGCUUCUGGUAAUGAACAUCAUCUCAAGCAUGAAAACUACCCAGGUUGAGCAGAAACAUUCGAGGCCAUUCUCAGCUUAAAGCUAUUUCAGAGCAACUUGCUUUAGCAAAGCAUAUGGGGUUCUUCAGGUGUCUCUACCUGCAAAUGUCCAAACUGAAAUCGAGCUGAUUGGAGAGAUACUGAGUUCUUCUAUAAGCUGCCAUCACUGCAAAAAUCACUAAUAGCUCCAGUGACAUAAGAAACGUUCUCAAUUCCGUAAGGGUGGCACUUAACACAGUUUCAAUCCUUAUUAUUACCUCUUGACAAUUCUUGGUCUCGGUAACAUGAAGCCACAAAGCGGACACUUGUUACCAACCUGAAACCAUUUUUCAAUACAAGAUCUAUGAAAGACAUGAGAGCAGCAAGGCAUAGAGGUUGCUUCUUCCGCAAGAAACAUCUCCUCGGUGCAAAUCACACAAGGGUCAAGCCGAUCCAUGUCUGGUCCAAGCACUUUGAAACGCUCCAACUCACAAACCGUAGUUUUAUCUGCAGGUACCGUACAUCUAAUCGAUGAAAUCUCAAUCUGAAUCGCCUCCAACAUGGCCUUAUUAGCUCUUCUAGACACAUAAGAGUGAUGCAUAUAGCGUGUGAAACCCAUCUCAGAUAUCACUUCUCUUAUCUGAUCUUCCCAUGAAGACAAAGAAAGCAAGUUCUCGUUCUUCUCCACUCUCUUCUUGAUCAAAAACUCUAUCUCUCUCUCGAUGGACCGUUCCCGAAAAAUCGAGAGCAGUGUCUCGUGAUCAACAUGCGUUAAAUGGUAUUGUAAGAUGAUUUGAAGUUGAAGAGUCAACCACUUAUCGUCACAAGAAAACUUAUCUUUCUGGAUGAGUUUCAACUCCUCCACAAGACUUUCGGUAACGUCAGGCAUGUGUCUAACAAUAACAUAGCCAAGAGAGGAAGGAGUCUUCUCGUAAAUCUCUCUCCGUAUAACCUCGUACGCUUUCGAAGUUGUAGUAAAAUCUGUAGACUCUGUUUCUGUGUAGAGGCAAGAGCAAGGGAACCGAAAUCUACUAAUGGAUCUUGUUGCGGACUCGGUGAUAGUGUUGCAUACAGCGAGCAUCUUAAACUCAACCUCUAUACAGAACUGAGGAUACGUGAGACUCUUCUCGCACUCACCAACAUCAUUAGGUAAUAUCACUAGACCAAUUUGGCAAGACGUUUCUACAUGAGAAUGUCUUAACCAAGGGCCAUAGACAUGCGUUACUGACGUGGCGUUCAAGGCACGUCCUAGAGGUAAAUGGACGCAGUUUCCUUUGACGUGACCUAUCAUUCCACAGUUGUAGCAGAAGUCGCCUAGGUUCCAGUACUUGAACCCCACGAACCGGUUUUGCUUUUGGCCUAUGUAGAAUCCUGGUCGGAGUGGCUUCUUGAGGUCAAGAUCUACUCGGAGGUAGAUGAACCUGUUGUUAUUAGACGUUCCGAGAAAAACGGCGUUGUUGUCGCCGACUUGUGAUUGAAGCGUGGGGAGGAAGUCAUCAGUGCAGAGGUACAGUGGUAAUCCCACGACAGCGACCAAGAAGGAGUCUGAAGUGAAGUCAAUGGUGUCUGAAGAGUUUAGAUCCUUUAUUACUAUGAGGACUCCAUUGACGUUAUAAGGUCGCCAUUUAAGAAUUUUUUCUUUGUCAUUCUUUUGUGUGAAUUCGAACAAGAACGUAUGACCGUCGUCUAGCUUUUUGACAGUCAUGUCGCCGGAGAGAACCCAUCGUUUCCGGAGUGUUUGUUCUGUGUCUGCAGCAGACGGUGGAGUUGAGUUCGUGAAGAACUUUCCGACGAGACAGUGUGAAGAAGAGCCGUCGAACAUGUUUUGCUUUCAGAAGAUUUUGAGUUUAUUAGUUUGAACACGCCAUGGUGAUUAUUACUAGAGUUUUAUAACAAACAGAAAAACAAAUAGGGACUACUUUUUCCUUUUCCUUGUUAGAUCUAGACAAUAUUUAUUUAAUUGAUUCUUAUGUUUUUGACAGA